Long non-coding RNA from Oncorhynchus keta (chum salmon), 819 nucleotides. RefSeq lists it as uncharacterized. The transcript is spliced from 3 exons. NCBI's taxonomy places the organism in Eukaryota, Metazoa, Chordata, Actinopteri, Salmoniformes, Salmonidae. The record is from RefSeq and is a predicted model, not a curated record.
CUAGUGGUUAGAGUGUAGAGGCGGCAGGUAGCCUAGUGGUUAGAGUGUAGAGGUGGCAGGUAGCCUAGUGGUUAGAGUGUAGAGGUGGCAGGUAGCCUAGUGGUUAGAGUGUAGAGGUGGCAGGUAGCCUAGUGGUUAGAGUGUAGAGGUGGCAGGUAGCCUAGUGGUUAGAGUGUAGAGGCGGCAGGUAGCCUAGUGGUUAGAGUGUAGAGGUGGCAGGUAGCCUAGUGGUUAGAGUGUAGAGGUGGCAGGUAGCCUAGUGGUUAGAGUGUAGAGGCGGCAGGUAGCCUAGUGGUUAGAGUGUAGAGGCGGCAGGUAGCCUAGUGGUUAGAGUGUAGAGGCGGCAGGUAGCCUAGUGGUUAGAGUGUAGAGGUGGCAGGUAGCCUAGUGGUUAGAGUGUAGAGGUGGCAGGUAGCCUAGUGUUUAGAGUGUAGAGGUGGCAGGUAGCCUAGUGUUUAGAGUGUAGAGGUGGCAGGUAGCCUAGUGGUUAGAGUGUAGAGGUGGCAGGUAGCCUAGUGGUUAGAGUGUAGAGGCGGCAGGUAGCCUAGUGGUUAGAGUGUAGAGGCGGCAGGUAGCCUAGUGGUUAGAGUGUAGAGGCGGCAGGUAGCCUAGUGGUUAGAGUGUAGAGGCGGCAGGUAGCCUAGUGGUUAGAGUGUAGAGGCGGCAGGUAGCCUAGUGGUUAGAGUGUAGAGGCGGCAGGUAGCCUAGUGGUUAGAGUGUAGAGGCGGCAGGUAGCCUAGUGGUUAGAGUGUAGAGGCGGCAGGUAGCCUAGUGGUUAGAGUGUAGAGGUGGCAGGUAGCCUAGUGGUUAGAGUGUAGA